RNAcentral lists this transfer RNA (74 nucleotides) under Caudoviricetes sp. RNAcentral's name for it is "tRNA-Ile". It matches the Rfam family "tRNA". Rfam says of the family: Transfer RNA (tRNA) molecules are approximately 80 nucleotides in length. Their secondary structure includes four short double-helical elements and three loops (D, anti-codon, and T loops). The record is from RNAcentral. Lineage: Duplodnaviria; Heunggongvirae; Uroviricota; Caudoviricetes.
GAAUGCGUAGCUCAGUUGGUUAGAGCAGAAUCCUUAUAAGGUUCAGGUCACGGGUUCAAUUCCCGUCGCAUUCA